GGCGGGAAGAUGACCGGGCAAGGAGUUUCCAGAGAAAACCAUGGUUCUUUUUAAAAAAAAAAAAAAAAAAAAGGUUAAGUUCACGUUUUCCUUCAGUGAUUCCUGAGACUUUAAUGCCAUAGGUGGAAGCUCAAGGGGUCAAUGUAAUAACUGUCCCUGGGGCACCAUCUCAUAAGUCUUCUGAACACAGGAGGUCAGAGGAAGGCUCCUCUGAGCUGGCAAGGCCAUCAGAACAGCUGCCCUACUGCUGCAUUUCUGGAAACCGUCUGGGCCAUGCACCCUAACCCUCUAAGCCAGGCGGUGCCACAGCAGGAUUUUCAGGUCACUGAACUUCAUGGUUACUGAGUCUCCCUUGCCUUCUCACAGGCUGCACCAACACCGAAGUCACUCGCUCAGGCCACAGGGAGAGCAGGUGGCAGAGGACCAAUUUUAAGCUCAACUACCACCCAGAAAAGAGGGCUCUUUGCAGCCGGUCCAGAUAUCUCUUUUUAAUCGGGAGACGGGAGGAGGCAAGCGGCUGGCAUAAACUCAUCUCUUCCCACAGAGAAGUGCGAAUGCGCAGGGAUACAAACGUCCACUCUCUUCUCCACAGCACGACUUUCUGCCUCCCUCACCCCCGCAAACAGAUGAAACACCCCAAACCUUCUCUGCUUUUACUCGGUAAUACUGCCACAGAACUCCCCGGGAAGCCCUUCC
This 696-nucleotide long non-coding RNA is filed under the name Dasypus novemcinctus (nine-banded armadillo). Its description in RNAcentral is "lncRNA (ENSDNOG00000052840.1)". The record is from RNAcentral. Lineage: Eukaryota; Metazoa; Chordata; Mammalia; Cingulata; Dasypodidae.